RNAcentral lists this long non-coding RNA (690 nucleotides) under Manacus vitellinus (golden-collared manakin). RNAcentral describes it as "lncRNA (ENSMVIG00005003790.1)". The record is from RNAcentral. Lineage: Eukaryota; Metazoa; Chordata; Aves; Passeriformes; Pipridae.
AUGGGCUGCUGACAGGUGCUGCUGGAGGCUGAGAGAUGGAAAAUCAAGGAUGCCCUGACAUGGUCUGUCACUAGCUUGAAGAGAAGAAAGCAGGAUCCAAUCUUUUGUUAUUUACUGAUGUCACUGCAGCCUGGGAGAGAAAUCAACACAGUCAUGAAUUAUGGCCCAUGCUCGUCUUUUCCAUCCCACCUAACACCUUCUGCUGCUGAGCACCUGAGGGAUAAGGAAAGCAGCAUCCUGGCCUGUGGGCGUGUGUUUCUGAGUUGGGAGAGGCAUGAGGGCACAGACUGGCAGGACAUAACAAGUACCUUCUCUGCAGAGGUUACCAGCAGCAUCCUCACUCACUUUGUGUGAAGAAAAGGAACUCCAACAUUACAUAAAAAAAAAAAAAAAAAAAAAAAAAAAAAGGAGAGUGGGUGGGAGGAGGACAGAAUCCUGCUUUCUCCUUGAACAACAAAACUCUUGAACUCUUGACUCCAGGCAAAAGGAAACUGAAGUCACUGAAUUUUGAAGUCACUCUGGAAGAUGAUGUGCAGUGCUGUGGUCCCACAGUGAGGGGAGGGUGUCCCUAAGCACACAGCCACACCAGGGCACAGCUAGGGCAAUUCCCUGGGCUUUUCCAUAUGAAGGUUCAUUUUGUUAUAAAUAACCACCAUUUUAAUAAUAAAUUACUGCCCUCUGGAAGUCCCA